Molecule: long non-coding RNA, 403 nt
Filed under: Solanum lycopersicum (tomato)
Lineage: Eukaryota; Viridiplantae; Streptophyta; Magnoliopsida; Solanales; Solanaceae
Description: long non-coding RNA (SLYC_LNC000254)
Source: RNAcentral
AGCUACUGGUGGUGCUGGUUUAGGUGCUUCUUUUGGCUUUUCGGGCUCUUUGGGCUUCUGAACCUCCUUUGGCUUUUCGGGCUCUUUAGGCUUCUCUGGUUCCUUGGGCUUCACGGGUUCUUUGGGCUUUUCAGCUUCUUUAGGCUUCUCCACCGCCACUAUUUUAGGUUUUUCGGGUUCUUUAGGCUUCUCUACUACUUUAGGUUUCUCUGAUUCUUUAGGCUUCUCUACAACCACCACUUUGGGUUUCUCAGGUUCUUUAGGCUUCUCCACGACUACUACUUUAGGUUUCUCGAGCUCUUUAGGCUUCUCCACCACCUUGGGCUUUUCGGGCUCUUUAGGCUUCUCCACCACCUUGGGCUUUUCGGGCUCUUUAGGCUUUUCCGAUUCUUUAGGCUUUUGA